AUCACUCAAACUGGGCCUUUCAGGUCACAUGCCGGAGGCUGCUGCAGACAGGACCCAGCUGCCUCAAAUCUGCCGCCUAACAUUAGCUGCGGUUCGAAAAUCCUGACAGCACAGGGCUUCCUGGGCUCUGCAGAGCAAACUAGAAAGAGCUGGGAUCCAGGCACUAUGUUCUCUGAAGAACUGUGGCUGGAAAAUGAGAAAAAGUGUGCUGUGGUUCGGAAGUCUAAGCAGGGCAGGAAACGCCAAGAACUGCUGGCCAUAGCCUUGGGGGUGAAGGUCCACACGUUCCGAGGCCCACAUUGGUGUGAAUAUUGUGCCAAUUUCAUGUGGGGGCUCAUCGCCCAAGGGGUCCGGUGCUCAGACUGUGGAUUGAACGUACACAAACAGUGUUCCAAGCACGUUCCCAAUGACUGCCAACCUGAUCUCAAGAGGAUCAAGAAAGUGUACUGUUGUGACCUCACAACACUUGUGAAGGCUCACAACACUCAGAGACCCAUGGUGGUAGACAUAUGCAUUCGGGAAAUUGAAGCAAGAGGAUUAAAAUCAGAAGGCCUUUAUAGAGUCUCUGGGUUCACUGAACACAUUGAAGAUGUCAAAAUGGCAUUUGACAGAGAUGGUGAAAAGGCCGAUAUAUCUGCCAAUGUCUAUCCAGACAUAAACAUCAUCACUGGAGCCCUUAAACUGUAU
Molecule: small RNA, 687 nt
Filed under: Pan troglodytes (chimpanzee)
Lineage: Eukaryota; Metazoa; Chordata; Mammalia; Primates; Hominidae
Description: processed transcript
Source: RNAcentral